CGAAGAAAUCUGGACCGCCAAGCUGGCUUGGCUGUUGUCCUAGAGACAGAGCGACGACGGCAAAAUGAGCUAAAACGUAAACUUAAUGAGAAACCGAAGGAGGAGAAGAUCGAAAAAAAGGCAAAAAUUGUGAAAGAAGCAAAGGAAGAUGACAAAGCCUCUGGAGAACUAGAGGACCAACUCUCUGAGGGCAGGGAUUCCCCCGAGAAAGGUGACAGUAAAAGGAAUGCUAGCCUCAAACCACAAGUAAAAGAAGAAGUAAAGAAGGAAUCAUCAACAGCAUCUUUUGGAAAGUUCAGUUGGAAGAAGCCAGAAAAAGAAGAA
Molecule: long non-coding RNA, 324 nt
Filed under: Rattus norvegicus (Norway rat)
Lineage: Eukaryota; Metazoa; Chordata; Mammalia; Rodentia; Muridae
Description: long non-coding RNA NONRATT029809
Source: RNAcentral